This is a long non-coding RNA of Struthio camelus australis, 1883 nucleotides long. NCBI's taxonomy places the organism in Eukaryota, Metazoa, Chordata, Aves, Struthioniformes, Struthionidae. The record is from Ensembl.
CCUAGAUGGGUGUGUGGAAGAUUGCCUUUGAAUAGAAUAUUCUAGAAUAUUGCUAGAUAGACAUUAACUCUUACAAAAUCUUCACUCAAAUCUGCCCACAGAAUUUAGUAUAUUUGAGCAUCUCAGUAUCUAAGUAAUUAUCUAAUAUGUGCUACAGUUGGAUAUUACUGCUAUCAUUUGUCUUUGCAAAUAAGUAAGGAUAGAGGUUGUUUACAGGUCUGAAAGUCAAAUUUGAAAGUCUGCCUGUCAGCUAGGCAGCUUGCACUGAACAGGACAUCAACAGCCAGCAUUUUGCUUCUAAUUUGGAGGUUAAAUAGAGGUAGAGAUGAGACUUGGCUUUCGUUUAAAAAUAAUCUAGCCUUUUAACUUGCCUAGAAAGCCAUAAAAACAGAAAUAUCUGCAGAGGAAGCCACAUCUUUGAAAAUUUGCUGUUGACUCUUUCCGAAAGAUCAGACCUUACUCACAGGGUCAUCUUAGCCAACAGCUUGGCCUUCUGACCAGGACGGGUAGCCAGGCUUCACACGAUUCCUGUAAAGGUCCCAGAUCUUGUAGCAGUCAAAGGGAGCCGUGUUAUCCAGACUGCAGCUCGCAGGAGUAGGGUCUCCGCAAUUCUGUCCUUAGCAGUUCUUCUGCUAGGUAGUCAUUUUGAUUUCUGGCUUUAAUGGCUAGUAAACAGCAAAAAUGCAGGGGUAAUACGACCUACUUCCAGAUAAUGCUUGAUCUGUUCUUAGCUCUACCUUUCAUAAACCACUAUUGUACUUUUCCUUAUGCUUUUAUAUAUUCUGCCCUGCACGUCAUUCCAUUUGUAUAUCCUGUUACAGCAGUUCUGGACAAUGAAACACGUGAAAUGGAAGAAACAGCUGCUGUUCUUCCUCCUGAAGGAACUGUCAAACCCUUGCUUCUUCUUAAGAUAGCUGGGAUGGAUGAAAAAAAAAUUUGCUGUCACUCCGUACUCAAAAACUACACAAUUUUCCACUGGGAUCACUUCUGUUUUAAAAACAAGGAACUAAAUGGUGUGUGCUUCAGUUAUCGUUCAGGCAGACAACAAUGAAGUAUGGGAGAAUCUAUUCUCUUACAGCAGUUGUAGUAGCAGAAUUCUAGGCUACAUGAUUAUCCACCUCUCUUACCUGUUAGAAUUGGUAAGUCUGGGCUUUCUGUCCUUUUUUUUUCCCCCCCUUUUUUCCUUAUGUUUUGUUCCGGAAUGCAGGCACCACUUGCUUUAUUUUAAAGAGUGUCGUUGUUGUUGUUGUUGUUGUUGUUGUUUUUAGGGUUAACAUGUUUUAGCUCUUAUUUUAGCACUAUGAGCAUUUUCGGGGCAGUAUAGCUAAGUUUUAUAAGCAUGUAAGAGUCUGGGUACAUGCAUACUGUUUUUCAAAAGUAAAUUAGGCAUGGAGUAUUCUAAAUUCCAUUGACAUUCAACAAGAUUUAGACUUCUAAGUGUCCUUGUCUCUUUUGAAAAUGACACUUUCUCUCUGAAGCUCUUCAAGUGCUUCAGAAAACGUUGCCCUGCUUUUUGCAUAUGUAAAUGGUUCUGUAGAUAAAGUAAACAGUUAUGCUAAUGAGACCAGGAGAAGGCAUGGUAUGCUGCCUUUCCUGUCUGCUUUAGUCUCACUUGCAAGCAUAUCACAAUUCCAGUGUUACAAUCAACCUGGGUGGGGGGAGUGCAAUUUAUGCUUUAAAAAAGUGUGUGUGGGGGGGGAAGCAAACAGUUUUACUGUGGCAGUACAUAAAUUUAGGAGGGAAGUAGAUUUCCCGCUAUCAGGUAGCUGGAGUUUUAGCAUAGCUUUCAGGAAGGAGUACCGGGAUUUAAAAAAGUGCCCCGGUGUAUCAAGUUCUAUUGCAGAUCAAAUAAAAUAGAUUAUGUAGUGUGGUUGCUGAUAGAA